ACAUAUCUAAGCAUUUUUGAGAGCUGCAAGCAUCCAUGUCAAUACUUUAUGCUUACAUAAACUAAAUAAUCAGUUCAAAUCACUGUUAUUUGGACUUAGUCCAGUUCAACAAAUAGGUGUUACCUUUGACUUAAGAUGAAUGUUUUUAUUAAGGAUUUCUUUAGCUUAUGUCAUUAUGAAUUCUUUUAGGUAUCCUAAUUUUUUGUAUCUUUUUAUCCCUAUUGGCAAAGGGCUCCUUGUGAAAACUGGUAACUAUCCUUUAGUCCUUUCUACUUUGGGUGUACUUAUUUCUUUUCUUUGGAUGACUAUUUCUUUUUUUUUAAUUCUCAUCCAGGAGUGAAGACAUUUUUUUCCAUUGGUUUUUAGAGAGAGUAGAAGGGAGAAGGGAGGGAUGAGAGAGGGGGGAGAGAGAAAUACUGACAUGUGAGACACAUUAAUUUGUUGCCUCCUACUUGCACCCUGACCAGGAAUCAAACCCACAGUCCUUUGGACUGCAGGCCGAUGCUCUAACCACUGAGCAACUAUUUCAUUUCAUUUUUACAGUCCUAAAUAGUCUUAUUUUAGUUUAUUUCAAAAUAAGUGCAAAUGUCUUAAUAUUGACCUCUAUGACCAUUUUUGCUAUUUUACUAAUUUCGUUUCUUCUAAAUAGAAUGUACCUAUUUGCUACUACUCAAAAGUCUUACAUCCAUCCUUUUAAGCCUGUCUCUAUUUUGCAGAUUCUAGGAGGCCAUUUCUUCCACCAACAUUGCAACAUAUUAUUCUAUCCUGUACUUAAUAUAUGUAUUUUACAUUUUUUUUUAAAAGAAGCAAGUUUGCUUAUAUAUUUAAAUUCAAUCUUAGUUUUCUAACAAUUUCAUCAACAACAUUAUGCUCUAGCAAAUUUUAAAAGGUUCCUCUUUUCUGAUGUAGCAAAGUAUACUAACAAUUUAGUAAAAUUUAAAUACACAUGUAAAUUGGUUAUUUUGAAGAACGAAAACUAAAAAUAAAAUUUGUUGUCUCUUUUAAUUAUGUUCUGUUAUGCAGAUAGUUAUUUAACCAAGUUCUCAAAAGAAUUAUAUUUGAGAAAUAGUGAUACCUGAGAGUAAACACUAGGCAAAUAAUGUCAUAAAGCUUUACUUUUCUUUCUGUUUUGCUGAUUAUUGAUGACUUCUGAACUUUUUAGAAAAUUUAAAAAUUCAUUUUAAAUUU
Molecule: long non-coding RNA, 1188 nt
Organism: Pipistrellus kuhlii (Kuhl's pipistrelle)
Lineage: Eukaryota; Metazoa; Chordata; Mammalia; Chiroptera; Vespertilionidae
Exons: 2
Source: RefSeq, a predicted model, not a curated record